ACGGGGUGCAGCAGGCGCGAAAACUUUACAAUGCUGGAAACAGCGAUAAGGGGACCUCGAGUGCCAGGUUACAAAUCUGGCUGUCGUGAUGCCUAAAAAGCAUUGCGUAGCAAGGGCCGGGCAAGACCGGUGCCAGCCGCCGCGGUAACACCGGCGGCUCGAGUGGUAACCGUUAUUAUUGGGUCUAAAGGGUCUGUAGCCGGCCGGGUAAGUCUCUUGGGAAAUCUGGCAGCUUAACUGUCAGGCUUUCAGGAGAUACUGUCUGGCUCGAGGCCGGGAGAGGUGAGAGGUACUUCAGGGGUAGGGGUGAAAUCUUGUAAUCCUUGAAGGACCACCAGUGGCGAAGGCGUCUCACCAGAACGGACCUGACGGCAAGGGACGAAAGCUAGGGGCACGAACCGGAUUAGAUACCCGGGUAGUCCUAGCCGUAAACGAUACUCGCUAGGUGUCGGCAACGGUGCGACCGUUGUCGGUGCCGUAGGGAAGCCGUGAAGCGAGCCACCUGGGAAGUACGGCCGCAAGGCUGAAACUUAAAGGAAUUGGCGGGGGAGCACCACAACGGGUGGAGCUUGCGGUUUAAUUGGAUUCAACGCCGGAAAUCUUACCGGGACCGACAGCAAUGUGAAGGCCAGGCUGAAGACUUUGCCGGAUUAGCUGAGAGGUGGUGCAUGGCCGUCGUCAGUUCGUACUGUGAAGCAUCCUGUUAAGUCAGGCAACGAGCGAGACCCACGCCCCACAGUUGCCAGCGUACUCU
This 754-nucleotide ribosomal RNA is filed under the name uncultured archaeon. Its description in RNAcentral is "bacterial SSU rRNA". It matches the Rfam family "Archaeal small subunit ribosomal RNA", at positions 325 to 1078 of the family's 1478-position model. The record is from RNAcentral.